RNAcentral lists this ribosomal RNA (235 nucleotides) under uncultured bacterium. RNAcentral describes it as "partial 16S ribosomal RNA". It matches the Rfam family "Bacterial small subunit ribosomal RNA", at positions 524 to 758 of the family's 1533-position model. The record is from RNAcentral.
UACGAAGGGGGCUAGCGUUGCUCGGAAUCACUGGGCGUAAAGCGCACGUAGGCGGAUUCUUAAGUCAGGGGUGAAAUCCUGGAGCUCAACUCCAGAACUGCCUUUGAUACUGAGGGUCUUGAGUUCGGGAGAGGUGAGUGGAACUGCGAGUGUAGAGGUGAAAUUCGUAGAUAUUCGCAAGAACACCAGUGGCGAAGGCGGCUCACUGGCCCGAUACUGACGCUGAGGUGCGAAA